Molecule: ribosomal RNA, 261 nt
Filed under: uncultured archaeon
Lineage: Archaea
Description: partial 16S ribosomal RNA
Rfam family: Archaeal small subunit ribosomal RNA
Source: RNAcentral
CAGCCGUAAACAAUGUGCGUUAGGUGUGUCGGUAACCACGCGUUACUGAUGCGCCGAAGAGAAAUCGUGAAACGCACCACCUGGGAAGUACGGUCGCAAGGCUGAAACUUAAAGGAAUUGGCGGGGGAGCACCACAACAGGUGGAGCCUGCGGUUUAAUUGGAUUCAACGCCGGACAUCUCACCGGAUAAGACAGCUGAAUGAUUGUCAAUCUGAAGGUUUUACAUGACUAGCUGAGAGGUGGUGCAUGGCGUGUGACUGU